Homo sapiens (human) is the source of this 748-nucleotide long non-coding RNA. RefSeq lists it as uncharacterized. Lineage: Eukaryota; Metazoa; Chordata; Mammalia; Primates; Hominidae. The transcript has 2 exons. The record is from RefSeq and is marked validated.
GCAAAAAAGCAGAGUUAGGCGGUGAGGUGGGUUAAAUACUUCACCAUAAAAAGUUCCAGAAACUUGGAUCUGAAUGGGGGCCUUUGAAAUAUUUCAGCCUGACCUUUUCAUGUACAGAUGAGAAAACUGUGAUCCAGACCUGGCCAGUGACUUGCUAAGGGUCACACAGCUAAGUAACAGCAAAGGUAGAACGCAGGGCUCCAGUCCCUGCCAUGAUUCCCCAACUUGGAUCUAGUAAUGCUCUCUAUAGAUGAGACGACAGCCUUCUCAGCUUCUCGGUCCAUGGGACUAUAAAAUGGAAUGUUGGGCUUGGCACAUCACAAUGCAAUUGUCUAUUUACAAGUUUAUUCCCAGUCUCCAAUGGAGGUGAAUGCCCCAAGGAUGGGGACCAUGACUUCCUCAUCUUUGUCACUGGGUACCUUCCACAAGGCCUGACACAUAGCAGAUCUUCAGGUGCAAGAGAUUCAGACUCUUUGUGCUCUCCUUCAGCAAGGCACAGGUUGAACUCAGGAAAAGUAAGUCAGAGAUUAAAUAAAUGUCUUCAUAUAAAGGUGUGAGUUUACAAAGAAGAAUCAAAUGAGGAACCCAAGCAACUGUUGCUUUCACAUAACUUGGAGGUUUCUAAGGCAGUGUUUCUCAAUGUCAAGAUGUCACGUUUCAAAAGACAACCUGAAUUCUCAGAUGAUUUCAAUGCAAGAUUAAUUUUCACUUGCCUCCAUUUUACAAAUAAAUAAAUGCCAUACUGUGA